RNAcentral lists this ribosomal RNA (274 nucleotides) under uncultured bacterium. RNAcentral's name for it is "partial 16S ribosomal RNA". It matches the Rfam family "Bacterial small subunit ribosomal RNA", at positions 523 to 796 of the family's 1533-position model. The record is from RNAcentral.
AUACGGAGGGGACAAGCGUUAUUCGGAAUCACUGGGCGUAAAGGUCGCGUAGGCGGGUUAUUAAGUCGGGUGUGAAAUCCAAUGGCUCAACCAUUGAACUGCAUUCGAAACUGAUAACCUAGAGUAUGGAAGGGGCAGGUGGAAUUAGUGGUGUAGGGGUAAAAUCCGUAGAUAUCACUAGGAAUACCGAAAGCGAAGGCGACCUGCUGGGACAUUACUGACGCUGAGGCGUGAAAGCGUGGGGAGCAAACAGGAUUAGAAACCCCGGUAGUCC